UGAAGUCAAAGGGGCAGAUCCUUUGUGGAUGGGAGAGGGGUUUCCUUGAUGGGGAGUUGACUGUCCUGUCUUCAGCAUUGUAGGAUGAAAGCCAUCCUGGGAAAGGUGAAUCCCUGAAUUUCACUGGGAGGAAGAAAAAUCCUGCCCUCUCUCAAUGACAUAGGGGAUCAGUCUGGUCUGAAUCCUGAGGUAUGGAGUUGCAUGGAGUGCUCUCAGAAGAGGGAAAGUGGAGUAAGCCAGCCCUAAGUCCAUGGAGGUCAAACCGCCCCAGACAGGGACACCACGUGGUUUAGAGAGGCCUCUGGCUGAGCUCCUCACCUGCUGGCAGCUUCUCGUCCUCCCCAGACCCAGCCAAAUGAGAAGCCACAGCCUGGAGACAGGAAGGACACAGUGCCUCUCCUCCCCGCAGUUGUGUUCCUAGGACUUCUACCAUGCCCU
This 438-nucleotide long non-coding RNA is filed under the name Rhinopithecus bieti (black snub-nosed monkey). RNAcentral's name for it is "lncRNA (ENSRBIG00000046319.1)". Lineage: Eukaryota; Metazoa; Chordata; Mammalia; Primates; Cercopithecidae. The record is from RNAcentral.